RNAcentral lists this ribosomal RNA (143 nucleotides) under uncultured eukaryote. RNAcentral's name for it is "partial small subunit ribosomal RNA". The record is from RNAcentral.
GUACACACCGCCCGUCACACCAUGGGAGUUGGCGGCACCAGAAGCGGGUAGCUCAACCUUCGGGAGGGCGCUUGCCRCGGUGUGGUCAAUGACUGGGGUGAAGUCGUAACAAGGUAGCCGUAGGUGAACCUGCAGAAGGAUCA